RNAcentral lists this long non-coding RNA (397 nucleotides) under Felis catus (domestic cat). RNAcentral describes it as "lncRNA (ENSFCAG00000050553.1)". Lineage: Eukaryota; Metazoa; Chordata; Mammalia; Carnivora; Felidae. The record is from RNAcentral.
AAAAUGUGUCCUUAAUUUCUCUUGCUUCCUAGACCCCUUGAAACUCUGAGGAGAGCCAGUGACCCCUCCCUCCUUCUCAUGUGGAUUCUCGGGCAUUUGGGGACCGGAGUAAGGACCUCAGUCCUAAGGGAACACCCACUGCUCCCCAGGGAGGAUCAUUUCCGUUUCGCACAAAGCUAAGACCUACAAUUCUCGGGCAUCGUUUUUCCAGGAUGGCAAACGGGCAGGAAAAUGCUGGGUUAAAAGCUGUGGAAAAGUUCUAGUGUUGAAAAUCGGCUCGUAAAUGAUGAAGAGCUUUUUGAACUGCGAACUGGCUCUGGAUUGGGUGCAUAGGACGGUAACCAGCGACUCCGUCUCACUCCCCUGCCCGGCUCCGCUCCGCGCCCCGACUCCGCUG